This 479-nucleotide ribosomal RNA is filed under the name uncultured bacterium. RNAcentral's name for it is "partial 16S ribosomal RNA". It matches the Rfam family "Bacterial small subunit ribosomal RNA", at positions 28 to 507 of the family's 1533-position model. The record is from RNAcentral.
GAUGAACGCUAGCGGGAGGCCUAACACAUGCCAGCCGAGCGGUAGAGUUUCUUCGGAAACUUGAGAGCGGCGCACGGGUGCGUAACACGUGUGCAACCUACCUUUAUCUGGGGGAUAGCCUUUCGAAAGGAAGAUUAAUACCCCAUAAUAUAAUGAUUGGCAUCAAUUAUUAUUGAAAACUCCGGUGGAUAGUGAUGGGCACGCGCAAGGUUAGAUAGUUGGUGAGGUAACAGCUCACCAAGUCAAUGAACUUUAGGGGUGCUGAGAGGGAGAUCCCCCACACUGGUACUGAGACACAGACCAGUAUCCUACGGGAGGCAGCAGUGAGGAAUAUUAGGGGCGGGGUGAGGGCGUGAUCCAGCCAUCCCGCGUGAAGGAGGACGGGCCUAGGGAUUGUAAACUUCUUUUGAACAGGGAUAGUCCUACCCUCGGGAGAGUAGCUGAAGGUACUGAACGAAUAAGCACCGGCUAACUACGUG